AACUGAACAAUGUGGGAUAGGUGUGGAAAAAACCAGCACAGAUGACAUGAGAUCCACAUAAAAACCUCUUCCUCUUCAUCAUUUAAGCCUCUGACAUACCUUAAGGCAGGAAUCCCAAAUGCACUACAUGUGCUCACUACAUAAGGGUCGUGGGAAGCCUGGAGCCUUCCCAGGGGAUUCGGGGCACAAGACAGGGGACACGCUGGACACCCAUCGCAGGACACAUUCACACACACAUUCACAUACUACGGACCAUUUAGAGAUGCAAAUCUGCCUACAGUGUAUAUCUUUGGACUGGGGGAGGAAACUGGAGUACCCGGAGGAAACCUUUGAAGCACAGGGAGAGCAUGCUCUGUGCACACAGGGUGGAGGAGGAAUUCGAACCCCCCAUCCUGGAGGUGCGAAGCAAAUGUGCUAACCACUAAACCACCAAAUAAUAACUCAACAAUUCUAAUGAAACUCUUAUCAGUCUUUAAGCUAAAUAACCAAACUGUAACACUAUUUAUGUGUUCAGAUAUUGCCAUUAUCAAGAACAAAAAGAAGCAACAGCAACA
Long non-coding RNA from Ictalurus punctatus (channel catfish), 554 nucleotides. The record is from Ensembl. NCBI's taxonomy places the organism in Eukaryota, Metazoa, Chordata, Actinopteri, Siluriformes, Ictaluridae.